RNAcentral lists this ribosomal RNA (497 nucleotides) under uncultured bacterium. RNAcentral describes it as "partial 16S ribosomal RNA". It matches the Rfam family "Bacterial small subunit ribosomal RNA", at positions 28 to 507 of the family's 1533-position model. The record is from RNAcentral.
GAUGAACGCUGGCGGCGUGCCUAAUACAUGCAAGUCGAGCGAACGGACGAGAAGCUUGCUUUUCUGAUGUUAGCGGCGGACGGGUGAGUAACACGUGGAUAACCUACCUAUAAGACUGGGAUAACUUCGGGAAACCGGAGCUAAUACCGGAUAAUAUUUUGAACCGCAUGGUUCAAAAGUGAAAGACGGUCUUGCUGUCACUUAUAGAUGGAUCCGCGCUGCAUUAGCUAGUUGGUAAGGUAACGGCUCACCAAGGCAACGAUGCAUAGCCGACCUGAGAGGGUGAUCGGCCACACUGGAACUGAGACACGGUCCAGACUCCUACGGGAGGCAGCAGUAGGGAAUCUUCCGCAAUGGGCGAAAGCCUGACGGAGCAACGCCGCGUGAGUGAUGAAGGUCUUCGGAUCGUAAAACUCUGUUAUUAGGGAGGAACAUAUGUGUAAGUAACUGUGCACAUCUUGACGGUACCUAAUCAGAAAGCCACGGCUAACUACGUG